AGGGUUGAGUGCAGCCAAGAAUGACUUGCCGGAAAAUAUAUAUUUCAUUACGAGCAUAUGAUUGUUUGUAACCCGACAAGUUGUUCUUGGCUACACUUGACUCUCU
Molecule: non-coding RNA, 106 nt
Organism: Lupinus albus (white lupine)
Lineage: Eukaryota; Viridiplantae; Streptophyta; Magnoliopsida; Fabales; Fabaceae
Source: the annotation of a GenBank genome assembly